GAUGAACGCUGGCGGCGUGCUUAACACAUGCAAGUCGAACGAUGAAGCCCAGCUUGCUGGGUGGAUUAGUGGCGAACGGGUGAGUAACACGUGAGUAACCUGCCCUUGACUCCGGGAUAAGCCUGGGAAACUGGGUCUAAUACUGGAUAUGACUUCUCAUCGCAUGGUGGGGGGUGGAGAGAUUUAUUGGUCUUGGAUGGACUCGCGGCCUAUCAGCUUGUUGGUGAGGUAAUGGCUCACCAAGGCGACGACGGGUAGCCGGCCUGAGAGGGUGACCGGCCACACUGGGACUGAGACACGGCCCAGACUCCUACGGGAGGCAGCAGUGGGGAAUAUUGCACAAUGGGCGCAAGCCUGAUGCAGCGACGCCGCGUGAGGGAUGACGGCCUUCGGGUUGUAAACCUCUUUCAGUAGGGAAGAAGCGAGAGUGACGGUACCUGCAGAAGAAGCGCCGGCUAACUACGUG
RNAcentral lists this ribosomal RNA (466 nucleotides) under uncultured bacterium. Its description in RNAcentral is "partial 16S ribosomal RNA". It matches the Rfam family "Bacterial small subunit ribosomal RNA", at positions 28 to 507 of the family's 1533-position model. The record is from RNAcentral.